RNAcentral lists this long non-coding RNA (852 nucleotides) under Lactuca sativa (garden lettuce). RNAcentral's name for it is "long non-coding RNA (LSAT_LNC009871)". Lineage: Eukaryota; Viridiplantae; Streptophyta; Magnoliopsida; Asterales; Asteraceae. The record is from RNAcentral.
UAUCACAUAAUUUCACAUAUAAAUACAACUUGAAGCUAUACAACUAAUUGCAAUUAAAUAACCACAAACAAAAAAUUGAAUAACUUGCUUCUAAUCCAAAACAAUACCACCAAAAACAAAAAUAUGAACAAUUUAUUAUCAUUCAAUCACUAUAUAAAGCUACAAAUCAAAAUUCAUACAAAAUAAAAAAGAAAUCAUAAAAAAAAAACUUACCUUUCUUCAACAAAUGGAGGCACCUACAAAUUGAUCCCAAAGCUUUAACCACUUGCUUGGAACAAUGCUUCUAAUCCAAAACAACACCACCAAAAAUAAAGAACGUGAGCAAUUUAUUAUCAUUCAUACAACACAAAAAUGAAAUCAUCAAAAUAAAACAUACCUUUCUUCAAGAAAUGGAGGUAGAAAAUUAUCCCAAAGCUUUAACCACACCUAGGGACACUUGCUUGGAACAAUGAGGGGAGAAAUUUGCUUGAAAGAAGCUGAUUGAAGAAGAAAAUCGGAAAUAUGGUGAAGGAACUCGAAGCAAACAGAAAGGGAAAUGAAGAGGAACUGUAAUCUGCGUGUUUUUUUUUUUUAUCUGCGAUCAUCAAUAGCGGCGACACUAUUAGCGGCGACGCGAGGAUCAAUACCGGCGACAAUUGUUAAUAGCGGCGACAAACUGGAGGGAAGGGUACCGCGUCAUUUUUAUCAGACAAUUAGCGGCGACUUUUUUAGGGUUUUAGCGGCGACAUGCGUGUCGCCGGUAUUAGGUUAAACCGGAUAAGGCACCCCACCCGUUGGAUUGGCUAUCUCAUCGAACGGUUGAGAUGCAAUGUAGGGGGAAAGUGCGGAUUCGGGUGUCAACCCUUUAGCGGC